UACGUAGGGUGCGAGCGUUGUCCGGAAUUACUGGGCGUAAAGAGCUCGUAGGUGGUUUGUUGCGUUGUCCGUGAAAACUCACAACUCAAUUGUGGGCGUGCGGGCGAUACGGGCAGACUGGAGUACUGCAGGGGAGACUGGAAUUCCUGGUGUAGCGGUGGAAUGCGCAGAUUUCAGGAGGAACACCGGUGGCGAAGGCGGGUCUCUGGGCAGUAACUGACGCUGAGGAGCGAAAGCGUGGGGAGCGAACAGG
RNAcentral lists this ribosomal RNA (253 nucleotides) under uncultured bacterium. RNAcentral's name for it is "partial 16S ribosomal RNA". It matches the Rfam family "Bacterial small subunit ribosomal RNA", at positions 524 to 776 of the family's 1533-position model. The record is from RNAcentral.